UUUUUUAAGCAGUCUUUCAAAAUAAGCCAUUACUGCUCCCAACCGGUCAUGGUGCACCUGUGUUAAAAGUUACCAUACUGCAGUAAGGCUGGCAAAACGAAUGUGUGCCAGAUUCUCACCCAUUACAGUUUGUUGCUUCAUGUAUUCAAUUAAGCCAGUAUUUACAGUGACCCAAAGUUAACAUGCUGGGAUGUAAACUGGCACACACGCACUUCUGUUAGCUAUGCUACAGUGCAGGAACAUUCAGCUAAGAUACAGGAAGGGGAGUAAGGGUGAACUUCGACUCAGCACAAGCAGCAGUUAUCACUAGCCCUUUGGCACUCCACUUACUUGCAAGAAGCCCGAUUUGCUAAAAGAGAAUGAUAAAAACAGCACAGUUAUAUUUCACAAUACCAUGAGACCACACUGUCUUGGUUUACUACAAGCAUUCCCUUCUGAAUUCUAAAUUGGUUUUGUUCAAAUUAGUUUUGUUCAAAUGGAAUACUAAAUGUACUAAACGUACGAGUAAAUACCUGCGCCUGGAAUGACUGUUUACAGUAAAGCUGAAGGCCAUCAACUUCUCGCCUAUAAGCAUUAUGAAAAGAUGGUCUCUCCUAAGAAAACUGUACUUUACUGCCACUACAGAAAAGGGGAUACAAGGAGUUUCCCACCCCCUCACCCCCCUUUUUUUUUAAACCCACAAGCCAUCCGAGAGCUUAUGCCAGGAGCUGCUGGUUGCUUUUACAGAUGAGGCAACAUAACCAUGAACUGGUAUGUUACAAUGACGACAAGUCAAAAUGACCAGUUUGAUUAUUUUCACAUUAAUCUGAGAUUGACCUAAGAUAAACUGUUCUUAAACAGGCUGAGUCUUUUCAGAAAAGAAUACAGGUUGUUAAAUAUGCAAGGACAAGUUCUUCUAUUUCUACUAGUAAUUACACACUUAAACCCUUAAAUAAUCAAGGUAUGCUUUUUUCAUAACGUAGUGUUUUGUAGGGGUUUUUUGUUGUUGUUUUGGGGGUUUUUUUGAGCAUGGCAAAAUCCAAUGAAUAUUUCAUAUUCUAAGAAGGUAUUAAUUCACGGUUUUAUUUCUUCUUUCCAACAGUAUACUGUUAUGGUACCACCACUGAACCAUACAAUUGGUUCCUCCACCAGGCAUGGCACAUAGCAUGAGCUCCUUAAGCUACAUUUACUGAGAAAGACUGUACUAUGGAUGGCUCUUCAUGGCAAGUCUUAGAAGAAUUUGAAACAGGAAGCAUCACUAUGAAGCCCCAUGGCAAAGGAGGGCAAACUAACUAGACUACAUCAGAUACAAAUUCUCUAUACAAAAUGGUUUCUCUUCAUGUUGGGAAAGAAACAUUUCAUAAUAAGAACAUAUCUUCUCAUCUGAUUUUACUGAUUUGCCAUUACUGAAGCUAACUGUGUCUGAAAUGUCAUUUUAGUUUUCGCAGCAGAGACCCUUCUUUGAUUUAAGGAGGUCAGGUGAAAUGGGAGGGAGAAGAAGAAAACUUAGAAAAAAAAGAAUGCUUUAUAAUGACAUUCUCAAAUUACUAUAGUGACUACUAUAGGAAUCUGAAAGAUUGUCUCAGAAAUAACUGGGAUAGCAAAUGUGGACAAUACAAAUGUCUUGACCAGUGAGCAAAGAGGAGCACUGGAAAACUGGAAAUACAUUAAAGAUGCAUAUUUCUUGCUAGUAAUCUUCUUUAAAUGCUGUCAACAAGAAGCUAUAGUGAGAACACAACAUUUCAGUGCAAAACUGUGAACUACAAAAAAGUAGUAUAUCAAUGAAAUUUCCCAAGUAUCACAGUAUUCAAGCUGGUUAGAAUGCUGCAGAAAUACUUAGGGACACCCUCAGGUUCUUUGUCAUCCUCCACUCUAGCCAGCAGCAAUCAUAAGUAUGUGUUUCAUUGAAGAUUCUACGUGAGCCACAAAACCAAGGAAAUAAAUAAGCACCGGACAGUUACUUAGUUCAAGCAAUAUAUUCUUCCUAUUCAGUUAGUUGGAAUUGAUGGAUAGGUCUUUCAGAAUUUAAAAUAUUAAAUGGCAUGUUUCUGUAUUUCAAUGACUUGAGUCAAACCACUAACUUAAGCCUGAGUCCGCCAUGCAAACACACACCUGCAAGUUUGCAGGUGUAAAAUCAUCAUACUCAAACCCCCCCCCAUUUAAGCAUAAAAUUUCAUCAGCGAAACUGCAGCAGCUAAUUUUGAGAAGUGGAGGAGUUGGCUAUUUGUGUCUUAAUAGGCAGCCUGUUUAUUGCAAACCUAUAGCAGCCCUUCCUUGCUUAGGAAGUAUCAGAGAUACUGUCCAAUUCCUUUCUAUGGCAAUGUAUUUUCAGAAACAAUGAAAAAUACAUGCAAUAUCAUUAAAAUAAGAGCCUUCCAAAUCUACCAGCACUUCUGCAACUCAAGUAAAACAAACACCCACAUUACCAAGAGCUGUUUGUACACAAAUCUUAGAUACCCUUAUCCC
RNAcentral lists this long non-coding RNA (2445 nucleotides) under Strigops habroptila (Kakapo). RNAcentral's name for it is "lncRNA (ENSSHBG00005000091.1)". The record is from RNAcentral. Lineage: Eukaryota; Metazoa; Chordata; Aves; Psittaciformes; Psittacidae.